AAAGUCCUACGGGGCGCAGCAGUAGGGAAUCUUCCACAAUGGGCGAAAGCCUGAUGGAGCAACGCCGCGUGGGUGAAGAAGGUCUUCGGAUCGUAAAACCCUGUUGUUAGAGAGGAAAGUGCGUGAGAGUAACUGUUCACGUUUCGACGGUAUCUAACCAGAAAGCCACGGCUAACUACGUGCCAGCAGCCGCGGUAAUACGUAGGUGGCAAGCGUUAUCCGGAUUUAUUGGACGUGAAGAGGACGCAGGCGGUCUUUUAAGUCUGAUGUGAAAGCCUUCGGCUUAACCGGAGUAGUGCAUUGGG
Molecule: ribosomal RNA, 305 nt
Filed under: uncultured bacterium
Lineage: Bacteria
Description: bacterial SSU rRNA
Rfam family: Bacterial small subunit ribosomal RNA
Source: RNAcentral